This is a long non-coding RNA of Aplysia californica (California sea hare), 1994 nucleotides long. RefSeq lists it as uncharacterized. The record is from RefSeq and is a predicted model, not a curated record. The transcript has 2 exons. Lineage: Eukaryota; Metazoa; Mollusca; Gastropoda; Aplysiida; Aplysiidae.
UGGUAUAUCUGACGUGUUGGGACAGUCUUACUGUGUCUUGGGACGUAUUGGUCUUAUACACGUCUCAGAGAUUAGACCGAGACAUUAAAAUUUCCAUUUGGAGAUUCCAACCAGGAGGAGCAGAACAUUUUUUGUAAAAUUACCGACAUCUUUACGAAUCCAAGAUGACUGGCAAAAAGGACCGCAAGGCAUCUACGACUUCUUCUUCUGGUACGACUAUUGAGAAUGUCAACAUUUCACUGGAUGGAACGGCUGCUGUUACAGCGGCCGUAAUUUCAGCGGGAACAGCAGCAGCUGGCUUUUUGGCCCGAUAUUGGUCAGGCGACAACUUAAAUCGAGCACCCGAAACAGACGACAACAAAAACAGCCAACAUGAAGAAAAAUCCAGAAAGAAGUGGAAACGAUUUUGUUGUUGUUGUUGUUGUUUUUGUUGAGGCCAUAAUUUUGAGUUAAAAAACACUAUUUUGUGUGGUUGGUUAUUUUUUGUCAGACGACAACCAGAACCACUACAGCAACGGCACCCAAAGCUCCAGUAAGAAUUCCGAAUGAACAUCCUUCCCAUUUCCUUGUGGCUGUGAUCAUAACAGAAAUUUGAUGAAAUAAAAUCCAAUAUUUUGUGUUGUCAUUUGAUUGAGCACGGCUGUUCAACUCGCCCGGAAACCGCUCCUUUAGUUGCUCCGUACCAGCGGUCAGUGCCACCCAUGUGUUGGUCAUUAAAUCAGUGGUCAGCCGUGCUCACUACCGUGACGCCAGUGGCGCGCCCCCGCCUGCCAGCGUAAUGCAUUCCCUCCAAAUUAUGGUGGCAUUCCUACCCUGGUAUCUCCAAAUCUAAAGAUGUGAUAUCACCAUAUGACUCACCAUUUUAAAGCCCAGUUUUCCCCCUACAAAACGAUAUAACUUUGGUUGAUCUCAGUUCACAACCUUGAAUUUAUCGAGCUACGUUCUCCAAGACGUGUUUCUAUCAAAUCGGAUUCCUUUUUCAGUGUUAUUUGAAUUUAAACGCCAAUAACUUCGUAAAGGCACCACCACUUUCAUUUCUUUUUUUCAAAAUCUAGUUGGGAAGGUAUACUGUACAAAAUGUGCAAGUUUCAGCCUUGUGUCGUUUUUAAAAUAUUUUAAAUUGAUUUUUUAAACAUUAUAUAGACUUUCUCCUAGACGUGUUUUUAUCGAAUCGGAUUCGUUUUUUCAGUGUUAUUUGAAUUUUAAACGACAGUAACUUUGUAAACUCACCAUCAGUUUCAAUUCUUUUUUCGGAAUCUAGUAGGGAUAUGUAUACUGUACAAAUUGUGCAAGGUUAAAAUUUGUGUCGUUUUUCUGUGAUUUUUGAUCAAUUAAAAAAAAACAAACAUAGAUCUAGACGUUCCCCAAGAUGUGUUUCUAUCGAGUCGGAUCUUUUUUCAGUGUUAUUUGAAUUUAAACGCCAAUAACUUCGUAAAUUCACCAUCAGUUUCAAUUCUUUUUAUAAAUCAAGAUCUAGUAGGGAGAGGUAUAUAUAUAUAUACCAAUGGUGUAAGUUUCAACUUGGUGUCGUUUUUCUGUGACUUUUUUCUUCUUUAAUAUGAUAUGGACGUCUUUUUUUCAGUGUUCACAAGCUUUUUUUGUGUGCGUUUUGUUUAAAAUCUAGAUCUAGCAUCUCUAAAAAUGUAAUAACAAUUAUAUAAUGUGUUUACCAAUAUUGUGACAGUAGGCUUAAAUGCAGUUAUAAGUGCUGACACCCUGACUGGUGAUAACCGCGAUCCUAGAGUGAUACGUUUUUAUCAAGAGUCGUCACAUGUGACAGCUGGACUUGGGGAACUGGGGACAUAUAGAGAAAACCUGUGAAUCUCCACUCAAGACUUAAUAUCUUUGCUUUAGGCAACGACACACAGAUGCAGCCAAGUGAUUUUGAAACUGUACUCAAUUUCUGACCCAAUAUCUUAGAAUUGUCAAAAUUGACCCCAGCUAUCAUGUUCAAAUUUAAUGAAAUAAAUCAUGACCCUCUAUCAAUGUUUAAA